RNAcentral lists this RNase P RNA (400 nucleotides) under Verrucomicrobiota bacterium. RNAcentral's name for it is "RNase P RNA component class A". It matches the Rfam family "Bacterial RNase P class A". From Rfam's summary of the family: Ribonuclease P (RNase P) is a ubiquitous endoribonuclease, found in archaea, bacteria and eukarya as well as chloroplasts and mitochondria. Its best characterised activity is the generation of mature 5'-ends of tRNAs by cleaving the 5'-leader elements of precursor-tRNAs. Lineage: Bacteria; Pseudomonadati; Verrucomicrobiota. The record is from RNAcentral.
GCGAUGGCAGAUGAUCGCUGGCGUGCAGCAAUGUUGCGCUAGAGGAAAGUCCGAACACCAUACGGCAGCAUGCCGCGUAAAACACGCGGGCGGCGUUCGCGCAAGCGGACGUGGACGGAAAGUGUCGCAGAAAAUAUACCGCCGUUCUUUGGCAACGGAGAGCGGUAAGGUUGAAAAGGCGAGGUAAGAGCUCACCGCGCGCGGAGUAAUUUGCGCGGCAGGAAAAACCCCAUGCGGUGCAAGACAAAACAGAGGGAGGGCAGCCGGUCCGUUUUAAUCCUCGGGUUUCGUCGCAUCACGUUGCGCGCGAGCGCAGCGGGCAUUCCGGAAACGGGAUGAGAUAAAUGAUCAUCCGGUCGCUUCGGCGGCUGACAGAAUUCGGCUUAUCGCUGUCACACAU